RNAcentral lists this transfer RNA (72 nucleotides) under Ictidomys tridecemlineatus (thirteen-lined ground squirrel). Its description in RNAcentral is "Spermophilus tridecemlineatus (thirteen-lined ground squirrel) tRNA". It matches the Rfam family "tRNA". From Rfam's summary of the family: Transfer RNA (tRNA) molecules are approximately 80 nucleotides in length. Lineage: Eukaryota; Metazoa; Chordata; Mammalia; Rodentia; Sciuridae. RNAcentral also lists the same sequence under 1 other name. The record is from Rfam by way of RNAcentral.
UGGGUUUUAGCUCAGUGGUAGAGCACUUGCCUAGCAUGUAUGAAGCACUGGGUUCGAUUCUCAGCACCGCAG